CUCUACGGACAUAAAUCAAAAAUUAAACUCUAACUUAAUUUGUUUUUGGUUGGGGCGACCGAGGGGAAAAAUGAAACCCCCUUAUCGAAUGUGUGAAAACCACUUAAAAAUUAGAGCUACAGCUCUUAAUUAAUAGAAAAUCUAACGAACAAUGACCCAGGGACUUAUUAUCUCUCCCUGAUCAAUGAACCAAGUUACCCUAGG
This 204-nucleotide ribosomal RNA is filed under the name Aetomylaeus bovinus (bull ray). Its description in RNAcentral is "partial large subunit ribosomal RNA". Lineage: Eukaryota; Metazoa; Chordata; Chondrichthyes; Myliobatiformes; Myliobatidae. The record is from RNAcentral.